This 682-nucleotide ribosomal RNA is filed under the name Xyleborus madagascariensis. Its description in RNAcentral is "partial 28S ribosomal RNA". The stretch from base 365 to 682 matches the Rfam family "Eukaryotic large subunit ribosomal RNA", at positions 1 to 841 of the family's 3401-position model. The record is from RNAcentral. Lineage: Eukaryota; Metazoa; Arthropoda; Insecta; Coleoptera; Curculionidae.
UUCAUUCGCGUCUCGACGCAGGCGUGGGACGGGGUCCGGAGCGACGGAACGCGUUCUUCGCGGAACGGGUUUCGCGCCCUCCGUCCUUCGAACCGGCGGCGAACGCGUGCACUUUUCUCCUGGUAGGACGUCGCGAUCCGUCGGGUGUCGGUCUACGACUUGCGGUGGAGCCCGCCCGUCGUCUCUAGUACGUACGGACGGACCCGCUCGUUCUGGCCGACUCGCUCGACGGUAUACGUAAGGUCGGAGGCCGCUGCUUUUGUCAAAGAGCGUUCGACUCGUCGCAAGCGCGCCACGUGAGUCGGCACGCGGACCCGGUGCCGCGUCCGACCUCUGGUGACUGUUGGCGACGAAGUUCUCGGACAGACCUCUGUUCCUUUCGAGAAUUCUCGCGAAAGGAACGCGUGGACCGAUCGGCGACGCUAUAGCUUUGGGUACUUUCAGGACCCGUCUUGAAACACGGACCAAGGAGUCUAGCAUGUACGCGAGUCAUUGGGAAUCUCUAAACCUAAAGGCGUAAUGAAAGUGAAGGUCUUCCUAGCGAACGACCGAGGGAAGACGGACGGACGCGGACGAGUACGUCCUCCGUCCUGCACUCCCGGGGCGUCUCGUUCACAUCGCGUGAAGAGGCGCACCAAGAGCGUACACGCUGGGACCCGAAAGAUGGUGAACUAUGCCUGGU